Molecule: ribosomal RNA, 177 nt
Filed under: uncultured beta proteobacterium
Lineage: Bacteria; Pseudomonadati; Pseudomonadota; Betaproteobacteria
Description: partial 16S ribosomal RNA
Rfam family: Bacterial small subunit ribosomal RNA
Source: RNAcentral
GGAAUUUUGGACAAUGGGCGCAAGCCUGAUCCAGCAAUGCCGCGUGCAGGAAGAAGGCCUUCGGGUUGUAAACUGCUUUUGUACGGAACGAAACGGUCUGGGAUAAUACCCUGGGCUAAUGACGGUACCGUAAGAAUAAGCACCGGCUAACUACGUGCCAGCAGCCGCGGUAAUACA